Molecule: ribosomal RNA, 460 nt
Filed under: uncultured bacterium
Lineage: Bacteria
Description: partial 16S ribosomal RNA
Rfam family: Bacterial small subunit ribosomal RNA
Source: RNAcentral
CCUACGGGAGGCAGCAGUGAGGAAUAUUGGUCAAUGGACGCAAGUCUGAACCAGCCAUGCCGCGUGCAUGAAGACGGCUCUAUGGGUUGUAAACUGCUUUUGUGCGGGGGUAAAUCGCGAUGCGUAUAUCUUUUUGCACGUAUCUUACGCGUAAGGAUCGGCUAACUCCGUGCCAGCAGCCGCGGUAAGACGGAGGAUUCAAGCGUUGUGCGGAUUUAUUGGGUGUAAAGGGUGCGUAGGCGGUUCGUUAAGUUAGAGGUGAAAUCCCCGGGCUCAACUCCGGCACUGCCUCUGAUACUGGCGGGCUAGAGUGUAGUUGCGGUAGGCGGAAUGUAUGGUGUAGCGGUGAAAUGCAUAGAGAUCAUACAGAACACCGAUUGCGAAGGCAGCUUACCAAACUACGACUGACGUUGAGGUACGAAAGCGUGGGGAGCAAACAGGAUUAGAUACCCGAGUAGUC